CAGCUGUGCUCCCACCAGCAGCCGCCCUUGCCCUGUGCAGCUAUCUCUUCCUAUCAGGCCACGCUCAUUUCCAUAUCCAAAUACCUCUCCAGGAGAGGCUGCUGCAGAUAAGGGCAUCCAAAAGCAGCAGUUUCAUUUCUUCCUCCACCCAGAUCAGCUGGGAAGCCACAGCACUGAACAGGCAGAGCGAGCAAGCUGUGUGAUCAUGCAGAUGUGUGCUGCAGCUUAAAUAACUUCAUGACUCUGAAUUGUGCCACCAAGCAAUGGCUCUGCUUCGCUGCCUGACAGCAACUCCAAAACGGGAAAUGCAAAGGACAGAAGAAUCACAGGAACCAGGAUCUGGGCUCACAGUUGCAAUAAUCUGCUGUCCUUGGAAAAGCUUCCUGGAGAGUGGAUCCCAGAGCACUGAUAGACCAAACAGCAGGUGACUGAAAGGAUUACUUUCCCCACAAAUGCUUUGUUUCGACAGCCACCUCAAAGAGCAAAAAGGCAGGUUUUUUAUUUCUAAAUACCAAGGGGCUGAAAAGAAAGGGAGGGCACUAUGUACGUAUUAAAUUCCCUAGGCUGGAAAGCCUCGUGAUUCGGGAUCGUUAUUUCCUCCAAAGCUAGUCUUAAAGCAAACCCAUCUUAGUAGUCUCUCAGUACUUUCUCAGGGGCUUUCGAACUGGCCAGUCCCUCCACCCAAAAAGUAUAAAAAUUAGGCCCUGGGGAAACAGUGAAGAGGAAAAUACCCACAUCUUCAGAAGCUGGGACAGUCCUUGAGCAAAGGGAAGCAAAGCAGUUGAACAGGCAUGGAAGGAAGGAAAUAAACUGGACAAGAGAAACCAGCUCUGUGCAGGAGACUGGGCUGCAGACAGAGCAAGGAGGAGUCAAGGUGAUGUUUGUUUCAGAUCACUCUUUCAAGGGGGAUUUUUUUUCAAGCAUGCAGUUCCCAGCAGCAGAGAACCCAGGUCCAGCUGGGUGGCACCCAUGUGGCACAGUGACUGCCCUUAAAUGACCCAGGUGGUGCACGAUGCCAGAUGACAGCAAGCCAGGAAAUGCCAAACCUAAAAUACCCCGUCACACUUACACACAGCCUACUCCUGCAGAUGACAAAUCCUUAUAACCUGUGAUCCCCUGGCCAAAUGAAAUGUGUAAGCAGGUGCCCUUUUAAAGCCCCUAUAUUCCUCCACACGCUGCCUUGAUCAAUACAGCCGUUGUUUAUUUACUCCGCUGUUCUGAGCUACGUGACAAGGCACAGCAGCGAAACUCUACCUGGACAUCGGCUCCGUGGGGGAUUGGAUGCGUGCGGACGGUGUGAUCUAUGCA
Long non-coding RNA from Oxyura jamaicensis (ruddy duck), 1308 nucleotides. RefSeq lists it as uncharacterized. The transcript is spliced from 3 exons. The record is from RefSeq and is a predicted model, not a curated record. NCBI's taxonomy places the organism in Eukaryota, Metazoa, Chordata, Aves, Anseriformes, Anatidae.